GCUAUUCAUUAGAAUUUCUUUAAGUCGGAAAUUAUUGAAUAAUUCUGAUGAAACAAGUAAUUUAAUCAAGACAAAAUAAAAAAAGUUAUUAAAAUUUGAGUAAAGAAUAUAUUUCUACAAUAUGAAGAUUUUUUAUUACUUCGUAAUACUUUUUUGUAUUCUAACCAACAUCAUCCAAGAAAUAAAUGCAUGUGGUCUGCGUUUUGGAACUAAAGAUAAAAGUCUAAAUAAAAAAAAUUGUCUAUAAUAUAACUUUCAACAAGUAUUAGUAUAUUUCAUCAAUGAAAAUUAUGGACAAUGGAUGAUUUAUUGAAAAAUGCUUUAAUAUUCAGCAUUUGUUAUUGAUUAUUUAAAUAGUGAAAUAAAUUAUAUUAAAAAUAUAA
Molecule: long non-coding RNA, 383 nt
Organism: Daktulosphaira vitifoliae (grape phylloxera)
Lineage: Eukaryota; Metazoa; Arthropoda; Insecta; Hemiptera; Phylloxeridae
Exons: 4
Source: RefSeq, a predicted model, not a curated record